This is a long non-coding RNA of Solanum stenotomum, 1467 nucleotides long. RefSeq lists it as uncharacterized. The record is from RefSeq and is a predicted model, not a curated record. Lineage: Eukaryota; Viridiplantae; Streptophyta; Magnoliopsida; Solanales; Solanaceae. The transcript has 3 exons.
UGUAUGCUAUCUCUCUCUGAUAUUUCGUUCUCAAGCUCCAGUCAGGGUUCCGCUGCUCCCUUCUCUGUCACUAGGGCUACUUGCUAAGAUUUGAAUAGGUAUGCUAAAUCUGUCAACUACCUGUUACACAAGGGUUGUACAACACCAAUUCAUAGUCUCUAGAGAAGAAACCUCAAAAGCUUUUGUUUGGAUAUCUUUUUCUAAUAUACCGUCAUAGUUAUUUACAAACAGUCUCGUUACUAUCCAUUGCGUUGGCACCGGGUAAGCCAAUUGAUAUUGAUAAAGAAACCCAAGAGAAGUCAAGACCAAACACAACUAGGGUUGAAGUCGAACUGGAUUUAUUGGCUAAGCUGCCACAACAAAUGAAACUUCAAUUUCAACUUUUGUAAGCACCAAGGCCAUAAUAAAAGUGAAUGUCGAUUGCUAUUGAUAAAGAAUUCAACAAAAAAUCAAGAAGAAGCAUCGAAAAUUGGAACUUCUUUAGAUGCCAGGGACAUAUUAGAUGCAAAGCGAGCUGGUAAUGAAAUCAUACUAGUUGGUAAAUUUUGAGCAGCAUUCUAAUUUUGAAUAUUGUUGCUUCUACAUGUAUUAUGGAUGUGCAAAACGAGCUUACAGGAGAUGCAAUUUGUGUAUCAAAAUCUAGGAAUCAACAGGUGAUCGCCAAAGGUAUCAGUUGGCUACUAUUGCUGCUAAAAUGGGUGAAAAUGUAGGUGAAGAGCAUGCUAGGUUGACUGCUGCUGGUGUAAUUGAUCAAGCUUUAGUUGCGGCACGGUUUAUCAAAAAUUCUGGGCAACAAGUACAUCAAUUUAACAAUGUGACUGAAAGGAAAUUCGUACAGAAUUCAAAUUGGAUUUUGGUGACAAAGAAAAAGCCUCCAGGUGUUAGAAUUGGUUCACUAUUUCAUAACACAAUGCAACAAAUUGUAGGCAGUCAAACUACCAACUCAAGUGCUCGAGCAAUUGUUCCAAAGGAGGUUCCGUGUCUCUAAACUUUUGAUGCUCUUUCGGAUAAUAUUGUGUAGUGAGAUCAAUCCAACAACUUCUAAAAUGGUUAUUGCUAAUCAAGAAGUAAUUAAUACAUUAAAGGAAAAUCAGUUUGCUACUAUGAUUAAUUCCAUUCCAGAAAACAAUCUACCACUUGUGCAUUUAAAUGCCUUGGUACAGGAGAUUCCUCGCCAAUCAUUGGAAUCAUUGAGUGAUUAACAUAGAUAUUUGAGGCAGCAGCUAAUGUCUACAAGGAAUGACCAAAAUGUUGAGAAAGAUAUGUCCAGGCUGGAACUCUGAGGAAUAACUAUGGACACAUUUUUGCUAUGAUCACACGCCUGCGGAAGGAAGUUGAUCAUCCUUACCUUGUGAAGUUUUCUACCAUAGAAUCGGCUAUUACAGCAAAGAGGCUUGAGAUGUUGAACAAUCAUGUGACUUAUGUCAUGAUUCAGUAGUGAGUUUGUGAACCUGUACCCCCUCCCCC